This is a long non-coding RNA of Polypterus senegalus (gray bichir), 749 nucleotides long. RefSeq lists it as uncharacterized. The record is from RefSeq and is a predicted model, not a curated record. Lineage: Eukaryota; Metazoa; Chordata; Cladistia; Polypteriformes; Polypteridae. The transcript has 3 exons.
GAUGGACCCACUAUAUAAGUACCUCCGUUUUGUUUUGAUUCAGAUCAAGAAAAUUAUUAGCCAUCCAGAAUAUUAGUUCAAAAAACAUUUGUGCAGUUGAUUCAUUCUUGUCUUCAUAUUCUUUCUUGUACUGCAUUACUUAAUGACCAGUUGAGAUUAGCUAGAUGUUCAGCAGAUGUCUUUUGCUCUUCGUUUUCUUUCUGCCAUAAAGGUGGCUAUUGUUUGAUUUUUUUUUUUUGAUCACUUUGCCAUAAACACAUGAGCACAGGAUUUUUUGCCAUCCUUUAUAGCUACCAGGUUGCCGCUAACUAAACCUUUUUUUUUUUUUUUUGUUUUUUCAGAACAUAUCAAUCGGUGAUGGAGCUACGGCCUACAUAUGCAAACCUCAGGUGUGACAGUGUGGGUUGGCGCCAUGCUUUAACUUCUGUUUGGGAGCCUCGUGAACCUGCCACAGCCGAUAAUCAUAACUAAGAUGAGCCGGGCAAAUGAGGACACACACCCAUAGCCCAUAGGGAUCAUCUAAUGGGAAAACCACCCGAAGCCAACCCCCAGGUUACACUUCCAUCUACGGACCACACCUUCUUACUAACCUCAUUUCCACCUGUUCCCGUUGGACCCUCCUCUUCCUUCCCACUGACUAUAAAGCCAACCACCUGCCGUUCCCUCGCAGUUCUGUUCUGGACUCGAUCCUCAGAGACUACUCGAAAGAAAAGCACACAAUAUAUGGGGUGGAUCCCCCAACCUUUUUC